ACUAUAAUAAGAAGAAACGUAUUAUUUGCCCACUGUGUACUCUAAAUAUGGUAGUCUGUAUAUAGUUUGUGGCUGUAUAGUUUGUGGAAGUUGCCAUAUAUUGCAACAACAUUUGAAGGAUACAUCAGCAAUUGUUCUAAAUGAACAGAGAAGGCCAGUAGUUCAAUAAAAA
This is a long non-coding RNA of Sitophilus oryzae (rice weevil), 172 nucleotides long. RefSeq lists it as uncharacterized. The record is from RefSeq and is a predicted model, not a curated record. The transcript has 2 exons. Lineage: Eukaryota; Metazoa; Arthropoda; Insecta; Coleoptera; Curculionidae.